Molecule: long non-coding RNA, 1397 nt
Organism: Scophthalmus maximus (turbot)
Lineage: Eukaryota; Metazoa; Chordata; Actinopteri; Pleuronectiformes; Scophthalmidae
Exons: 3
Source: RefSeq, a predicted model, not a curated record
GUCAUUUUUUCCUUAGAUGGGGACAGAGUGAGAAGCGGUGCACCGUUUAUCCGUAGGAUCAGUGGGCUAAAAUAUGUGUGUCUGCUCUCCUCUCCGACAGGCAGUAAUGAAUAAAAUAACAGUGGAAGAAGAUGAACUACUUCCUCUGUGAACUCAUCAGGCAGACAUUGGCAUGCACCACUGCCUCCAAGAUGGCUGCAUCUCUGCCCACUCCUCGUGAAUACUGCUACAGCUGACAGCGGGAAAGCACACCGCAGGGUAAAGUGCAGGAAAACGCUGAUACUGUGGAUUGUUGCAGAGAAGUCACAUUAGUCACACGCAGAGAGGUUUACUGGUCUCCAGGGGUCAACCACCAGCACUUCUUCAGGACAACUGCUGAUAUUCUGACACAGGACUUUUUCAGAUUUUGUUGGCAUUCAUGCCUACAGUAUGUCAAGAUAGUUUUUCUCUUCUCCUUGAUCCAGACAGAUUCCUUUUGAUUGAUGUUUCUCAUCAAUGGUUGUCUGAACUAACAGUAGUCCAUGGUUAACAAUAGUUUUCACCAACUGUUUCCAGCAGUGAAAAGUAACGCCAUUUUAACCGUUUGGAGGUUGGUUUUUUUUGCUUCUAUUUCUUUCUAUUUGUUCUAUCACAUCGUUGCUUAUGUUAGCAAGCCCAGGCCCAACCAGCUCAUUCCAACAGAGAGUUAAUGUAGCCUCCAGUCUGCCCUGAAGAAGUAGCACCGCUUAGAGGUUGUAUUACAAACUCUUGUCUUUUAAAAACAAUAAUGGCUAAAGCUUUUAGCGAAAAAACCGCAUUUGGCGAUGCAGAAAAUGGAGAAAAGUUAUAUAUAGAACCUUCACCGUGACCCUGCCGCAGCAAUAACAGCCACAAAAAAAGUAUGCAUUAUUGCGUCAGGAAUCUAACAGCAUGUGAUGCCACUGCAUUGUUUCACCAAAGUUAUGCAAUUUUGUAUUAAAGUUGAAAUGAAGUGAUCAUAAAGUCAGCGACUGAAGAUACUUCAGACUGCCGGGGAAUUUGUGUUUAUGUGCGUAUGGCUCCUAUUUUCUUUGUUAAUGUGAUUCAUUUAAUUAGCCUUAGAUAAUCAGACGACGCACACAGACUGGGUAACACAGCACACAUGCCCCAUUUCUGGUUCACUGGGUUUUCAUGUUUCCCGGCCUCCUUCGGUGUUCCGUAGUGUCACCACGGCUGGUCUCAGUGAAGCACAAAGUCCCCCAUGGGCGCUUCUGUACAGUAUAUCUGACCCAACCACGCACGUGGAGUAAGGGACAGUGGACGAGGCUGUCUAACACUGUAGAUAUCUUAUAGAGCCGAUGACCUUGGGAAAGGACUGACGGUGGUGUUUGGACACUGGCCAAUUGCCUCCGUCCCGGUGAUCACGGCGGAAAAAUCAG